UGUGAAUGAUGCGGGAGCUAA
Molecule: microRNA, 21 nt
Filed under: Medicago truncatula (barrel medic)
Lineage: Eukaryota; Viridiplantae; Streptophyta; Magnoliopsida; Fabales; Fabaceae
Also listed under: 1 other name
Description: mtr-miR4414b
Source: miRBase by way of RNAcentral